RNAcentral lists this ribosomal RNA (1948 nucleotides) under Salmonella enterica. Its description in RNAcentral is "partial 23S ribosomal RNA". It matches the Rfam family "Bacterial large subunit ribosomal RNA", at positions 711 to 2640 of the family's 2925-position model. Lineage: Bacteria; Pseudomonadati; Pseudomonadota; Gammaproteobacteria; Enterobacterales; Enterobacteriaceae. RNAcentral also lists the same sequence under 1 other name. The record is from RNAcentral.
AGACCCGAAACCCGGUGAUCUAGCCAUGGGCAGGUUGAAGGUUGGGUAACACUAACUGGAGGACCGAACCGACUAAUGUUGAAAAAUUAGCGGAUGACCUGUGGCUGGGGGUGAAAGGCCAAUCAAACCGGGAGAUAGCUGGUUCUCCCCGAAAGCUAUUUAGGUAGCGCCUCGUGAAUUCAUCUCCGGGGGUAGAGCACUGUUUCGGCUAGGGGGCCAUCCCGGCUUACCAACCCGAUGCAAACUGCGAAUACCGGAGAAUGUUAUCACGGGAGACACACGGCGGGUGCUAACGUCCGUCGUGAAGAGGGAAACAACCCAGACCGCCAGCUAAGGUCCCAAAGUCAUGGUUAAGUGGGAAACGAUGUGGGAAGGCCCAGACAGCCAGGAUGUUGGCUUAGAAGCAGCCAUCAUUUAAAGAAAGCGUAAUAGCUCACUGGUCGAGUCGGCCUGCGCGGAAGAUGUAACGGGGCUAAACCAUGCACCGAAGCUGCGGCAGCGACACUGUGUGUUGUUGGGUAGGGGAGCGUUCUGUAAGCCUGUGAAGGUGUGUCGUGAGGCAUGCUGGAGGUAUCAGAAGUGCGAAUGCUGACAUAAGUAACGAUAAAGCGGGUGAAAAGCCCGCUCGCCGGAAGACCAAGGGUUCCUGUCCAACGUUAAUCGGGGCAGGGUGAGUCGACCCCUAAGGCGAGGCCGAAAGGCGUAGUCGAUGGGAAACGGGUUAAUAUUCCCGUACUUGGUGUUACUGCGAAGGGGGGACGGAGAAGGCUAUGUUGGCCGGGCGACGGUUGUCCCGGUUUAAGCGUGUAGGUGUGUGUUCCAGGUAAAUCCGGUUCACUUUAACACUGAGGCGUGACGACGAGGCACUACGGUGCUGAAGCAACAAAUGCCCUGCUUCCAGGAAAAGCCUCUAAGCAUCAGGUAACAUCAAAUCGUACCCCAAACCGACACAGGUGGUCAGGUAGAGAAUACCAAGGCGCUUGAGAGAACUCGGGUGAAGGAACUAGGCAAAAUGGUGCCGUAACUUCGGGAGAAGGCACGCUGACACGUAGGUGAAGUGAUUUACUCAUGGAGCUGAAGUCAGUCGAAGAUACCAGCUGGCUGCAACUGUUUAUUAAAAACACAGCACUGUGCAAACACGAAAGUGGACGUAUACGGUGUGACGCCUGCCCGGUGCCGGAAGGUUAAUUGAUGGGGUCAGCGCAAGCGAAGCUCCUGAUCGAAGCCCCGGUAAACGGCGGCCGUAACUAUAACGGUCCUAAGGUAGCGAAAUUCCUUGUCGGGUAAGUUCCGACCUGCACGAAUGGCGUAAUGAUGGCCAGGCUGUCUCCACCCGAGACUCAGUGAAAUUGAACUCGCUGUGAAGAUGCAGUGUACCCGCGGCAAGACGGAAAGACCCCGUGAACCUUUACUAUAGCUUGACACUGAACAUUGAGCCUUGAUGUGUAGGAUAGGUGGGAGGCUUUGAAGUGUGGACGCCAGUCUGCAUGGAGCCGACCUUGAAAUACCACCCUUUAAUGUUUGAUGUUCUAACGUGGACCCGUUACCCGGGUUGCGGACAGUGUCUGGUGGGUAGUUUGACUGGGGCGGUCUCCUCCUAAAGAGUAACGGAGGAGCACGAAGGUUGGCUAAUCCUGGUCGGACAUCAGGAGGUUAGUGCAAUGGCAUAAGCCAGCUUGACUGCGAGCGUGACGGCGCGAGCAGGUGCGAAAGCAGGUCAUAGUGAUCCGGUGGUUCUGAAUGGAAGGGCCAUCGCUCAACGGAUAAAAGGUACUCCGGGGAUAACAGGCUGAUACCGCCCAAGAGUUCAUAUCGACGGCGGUGUUUGGCACCUCGAUGUCGGCUCAUCACAUCCUGGGGCUGAAGUAGGUCCCAAGGGUAUGGCUGUUCGCCAUUUAAAGUGGUACGCGAGCUGGGUUUAGAACGUCGUGAGACAGUUCGGUCCCUA